UAGAAGCAGAGUUUGUUAUUCCUGA
RNAcentral lists this non-coding RNA (25 nucleotides) under Mus musculus (house mouse). Lineage: Eukaryota; Metazoa; Chordata; Mammalia; Rodentia; Muridae. The record is from RNAcentral.